RNAcentral lists this long non-coding RNA (305 nucleotides) under Pollicipes pollicipes. RNAcentral describes it as "uncharacterized LOC119101564". The record is from RNAcentral. Lineage: Eukaryota; Metazoa; Arthropoda; Thecostraca; Pollicipedomorpha; Pollicipedidae.
UGUUCGGUGAGCGCGGACGGCGGGCUGUGCGCGCCUGUGCUGCAGUGCACGUGUUGGCUAGAAAGCCGACAGUGACGGGGAUUUCGAGCGUGUAGGUCAGGAGCCACUUGAGGGUACGAAGACGGUAGCGAGAAAGACUGCGUGCCCGGGUAAGAGCAUUCCGAGAAUGUCUCUAUGCCGAGAAAUGUGGUGCCGUCCUGUGCCGUCUGCAAGUCCCGGCCUGUGUGAGUCGCCUGGCAUGCCGCGGUCCCCGUCAUGCACGACUGUUCGUGAAGUCUGGCUGAUUUAAUACAUAGCUGAAAACA